This 72-nucleotide transfer RNA is filed under the name Phrynosoma platyrhinos (Desert horned lizard). Its description in RNAcentral is "tRNA-OTHER". The record is from RNAcentral. Lineage: Eukaryota; Metazoa; Chordata; Lepidosauria; Squamata; Phrynosomatidae.
GCCAGCAUGGCAUAGUGGUUUGAGUGUUGGAUUGCAACUCUGGAGAUUGGGGUUCAAUUCCCAGCACAGCCA